This 301-nucleotide ribosomal RNA is filed under the name uncultured bacterium. Its description in RNAcentral is "partial 16S ribosomal RNA". It matches the Rfam family "Bacterial small subunit ribosomal RNA", at positions 509 to 807 of the family's 1533-position model. The record is from RNAcentral.
CAGUCGCCGCGGUAAUACGGAGGAUCCAAGCGUUAUCCGGAAUCAUUGGGUUUAAAGGGUCCUUAGGCGGUCUUGUAAGUCAGUGGUGAAAGCCCAUCGCUCAACGGUGGAACGGCCAUUGAUACUGCAGGACUUGAAUUAUUGGGAAGUAACUAGAAUAUGUAGUGUAGCGGUGAAAUGCUUAGAGAUUACAUGGAAUACCAAUUGCGAAGGCAGGUUACUACCAAUUGAUUGACGCUGAUGGACGAAAGCGUGGGUAGCGAACAGGAUUAGAUACCCCCGUAGUCCCUGUCUCUUAUAC